This is a long non-coding RNA of Calidris pugnax (ruff), 623 nucleotides long. RefSeq lists it as uncharacterized. Lineage: Eukaryota; Metazoa; Chordata; Aves; Charadriiformes; Scolopacidae. The transcript has 3 exons. The record is from RefSeq and is a predicted model, not a curated record.
UGUCCUUGUUGUGGUCCAGGUCGUUCAUGAGCCUCUUGAACUCCACCUCGUCCAUUUGCUUCUGCGACAGGAGGAGAGCAAGUUGGGGGUCCUUCGUCAGCACCCAGAAGGUGUGCUCAUCCAGUUGUUCCCGGCACAGAGCAUCAGCAGGGGACAAGGAUGGUGUUCACCAACCAUGGCACAGGAAACGUGUCUUCCUUCUCCCAGAGAGGUGGUGGCUGGAGAGGACCAUGGGGCAACAUAUUUGGGGCAUUUUUCUGAAAUCUACCGAACCUUGCGCCACGUGGGACCUGGAGGCUGGUGCAGCACCAGGGCUGGGUGAGCUGGGUGCCCGGAGCUAAUCCCACCGGGGACAUGAGGACCAGAGCGUGGGUCUGAGCCCCCUAAACUGGAGCCUGGCAGCCCCCUCCCCAUGUUGUCCCCCUCCCCACCUGCCCUAUGGUGCGAUGCAAAGUGCCCCAGGGAUCUCCAGGAGGAACAGGGGCACAGAAACCACCCCCUGCCCACACUGAUGCCCCCACAACGCUCCCUCUGCCAUGACAGACCCCUGAACACUGGUUCAGGAGCCCCUCCUGUGCCCACCCCCUGGGUUCCCCAUGCCCCCCAGUUUGCUCCCAGCAGCC